This 253-nucleotide ribosomal RNA is filed under the name uncultured bacterium. RNAcentral describes it as "partial 16S ribosomal RNA". It matches the Rfam family "Bacterial small subunit ribosomal RNA", at positions 524 to 776 of the family's 1533-position model. The record is from RNAcentral.
UACGUAGGUGGCAAGCGUUGUCCGGAAUUACUGGGUGUAAAGGGCGUGUAGGCGGGGAAACAAGUCAGAUGUGAAAUACCGUGGCUUAACUGCGGGGGUGCAUCUGAAACUGUUUUUCUUGAGUGUCGGAGAGGAAAGUGGAAUUCCCAGUGUAGCGGUGAAAUGCGUAGAGAUUGGGAGGAACACCAGUGGCGAAGGCGGCUUUCUGGACGAUAACUGACGCUGAGGCGCGAAAGCGUGGGUAGCAAACAGG